This 73-nucleotide transfer RNA is filed under the name Bos taurus (domestic cattle). It matches the Rfam family "tRNA". Rfam says of the family: Transfer RNA (tRNA) molecules are approximately 80 nucleotides in length. Their secondary structure includes four short double-helical elements and three loops (D, anti-codon, and T loops). Lineage: Eukaryota; Metazoa; Chordata; Mammalia; Artiodactyla; Bovidae. RNAcentral also lists the same sequence under 3 other names. The record is from Rfam by way of RNAcentral.
UCCCUGAUGGUCUAGUGGUUAUUACUCUGCUUUUCCAAUGCAGGAGGCACAGGUUCAGUCCCUGGUUGGGGAA